This 975-nucleotide long non-coding RNA is filed under the name Rattus norvegicus (Norway rat). RNAcentral's name for it is "long non-coding RNA NONRATT001131". Lineage: Eukaryota; Metazoa; Chordata; Mammalia; Rodentia; Muridae. The record is from RNAcentral.
GCCUGCUGGGUUUUGUAGACACACAUAGGGUUUCAGGUACUAUGGGGGGUGGGGGGGAUAAUGGGUAGGGAGAGGGACAGGCAAGCAGGGGCCAUUUCCACCACCCGUGAGCCCAGACAGUGACAGGAUUUGAGGCUGUCUUCCAGUAUGAAGCUCAUUGUGCUGUCCAGGAAAAGAGAGGCAGUCGACUGCUGGGAUCUGAGUCCCUGCUGAUACCCAGCCUUGGACACUCCACCUGGAUGGCUCAGGGAGCCUGUCUGUGCCUUGCCCCUUGGUUCUGACUGAGGAGCAACCAUGUGCUCAAAAGCCUUGGCUUCUUCGUCUGUCGAUGGAGUGACGUUUCCUCAGCAAACAAUUCUCAGAAGAAGAAAAAAAAAAAGCCCCUGUGAGUGGAAACUGGAGAAGUGUUAUAGCAAUAAACGCAACAUUGGGUAACAUCUGCCUACAGAUGCCUAGCCUUGAGCCAUCCCUGCAGCCAGGCAGUGCUAAAGGACCUUUGCUGUCUGCUGUGGGGAAAGCCCGGACAGCUUCCCUUGACUCCGUCUGGUGAGGAGGGCAGGCAGGGCCGGGACACAGGAUUGUGACUUGACACCAGCCCCGCUGAGGAGGAGGGGGCCCUUUAUUUAACAUGUCUCAUGAUAUUCUACAUGCGGGAAACAAUGAGAACAAAAAAACACCUUCAUUGGGCGGAGCCACAUUUUAAACAAAAAUUUGUCUUUGACUAUGCUUAAAAGAAGAAGAAAAAAAAUCCUUGAAUAUAUUUAGAAGUUACUGUCUGUUUUUAACUAACUCCAUAUGCUGCCAGUAUCAACUUCAUGACAUUUGCCAAAAUAAGAUUUUAUUUUUUGCCUUUAUAAGAUUUUGUUGGAAAAAUGAAAUGAAUAUUUUGCAAGAAAAAGUUAAUUUAAAUAAAAGUGUAAUGGUUUGCAAAAAAAAAAAAGUGAUGUAUAGAUUAAAAUAUUAACCUCAUCUGUG